AGGGAAGGUUCAGUAAAUAGGCUGUUAUUACCAGGAGCCUGCAUGACUCAAGCAAGCAGCUGGGGCCUGAGCAGUGAGCAGAAUGGAAUGUCUAUCAGGACAGCCGUAGAUUUCCACAGCUUCCUGCUUUCGUCAGCUUCAGCUUAACAUCUAUUAUUGUGAAGAGUAGGGUCUUCCAAGUUUAUAAGAAGAAUCAGAUUUCCAAGAGCAAUUUACCCCUUUCUUCAUUCUGUUAGGCAUUAUUUGGAAUGGCUUUUCUUCGAUGAAUUCAAUUAACAGGCUGGAGUGCAGCGGCGUGAUCUCGGCUCACUACAACCUCCACCUCCCGGGUUCAAGCGAUUCUUCUGCUUCAGCCUUCUCCUGAGCAGCUGGGAUUACAAGUGCGCACCAUCAUGCCUGGCUAAUUUUUGUAUUUUUAAUAGAGACGGGGUUUCUCCAUGUUGGCCAGGCUCGUCUCAAACUCCUGACCUCAGGUGAUCUGCCCACCUCGGCCUCCCGAAGUGCUGGGAUUACAGGUGUGAGCCACUGCACCCAGCCUAAAGAGAAUAUUUUCUCAAUUAAAAAUACUAUAGUCUUCAGAAAAGAAUCAAUUAAAGUGAUGAGAAAUUUCAAAUAUAUUAACUACAAACUGCAACUUUGAAAAAUAUUGCAGGCAAUUUUAUUAAGUUCUACAGAGAAAUGUCAGUAACAUGGUAUUAGAAAUAAAUAUAGCUGAUAAACAGAUUAAAGUUUAUGAAUAUAUACCAAGAAUAAUUAUUCUGCUUAUGUAAUUUUAAUUUUGGAAAACCAUUUUGAAAAGUUUGUUACAUGAAAUGUUAUUUUUAAAAGAAUUUCAUAUUUGAAAAUAGUUUGAAUAUAUAAUUUUUAAGUAUUUUCAAUGCAAUUAGUCCAAUUUUCUGAUCAAUAAAUAUCUUUUAAAAGUAUGUAACUUUAUUGUUUUCAUUUCAAAAUGUUUCAGUUUGGAAAUUAUACAAUCAUCCUACAUAACCAGGCAACACAAAUCACAUAAAAAUACGUAUGCCCUCAGCGACACUGUGCUAUCUUCUAACUAGGUUUCCUUCUGUGUGUACUUAAGUGUGUGUGAUAUCAAAAAUUCACGUGAAUGGCUUUAUAUUUGACUUGAUGACCCAGAGUACUAUUGAGCAAGAAAUAGCAUUGCCCUGGGUAUGCUAUUUGAUCAGAAUCUACCUUGUCUGUCAUUCCUUCUUGCAUACUUGCUUUCUGUUUUUCUGAACUUCUCUGACUAUAAGGUUCUAUCUGUUUUCUUUUCUUGCUUGUACUUUGUCAGAAAACUAAUUUGCAGUCAUUCAUACUAGUAUUUACUGAGUGAGGUGAUUCUAACAUCAUGUAGAAACAGUUGAAUCAAAUCCUACCAUACCAUUGAUUAACUGGGUAAACUUUGGUAAAUCACUUAAUGUCUCUAAAUGCGAUGUUCUUAUUUGUGAGACAUGGAUGAUAAUAUCUGCCAUGUACAUUGUUGCAAGUAUUUUAAAAAUGAUAUUUGUAAGCAUUUAAAAAUAUUAUAUUUUAAAAUAUAAUAUAAUUA
This 1546-nucleotide long non-coding RNA is filed under the name Homo sapiens (human). Its description in RNAcentral is "HSALNT0282079". The record is from RNAcentral. Lineage: Eukaryota; Metazoa; Chordata; Mammalia; Primates; Hominidae.